CCAGUUACUCUAGCGCGCCAGGCCGAACCGCAGCUUCUUGGCUUAGGUACUUCUACUCACAGCGGCCGAUUCCGAGGCCAACUCCAGCAAUGGCUUUUGCAAAUCUGCGGAAAGUGCUCAUCAGUGACAGCCUGGACCCUUGCUGCCGGAAGAUCUUGCAAGAUGGAGGGCUGCAGGUGGUGGAAAAGCAGAACCUUAGCAAAGAGGAGCUGAUAGCGGAGCUGCAGGACUGUGAAGGCCUUAUUGUUCGCUCUGCCACCAAGGUGACCGCUGAUGUCAUCAACGCAGCUGAGAAACUCCAGGUGGUGGGCAGGGCUGGCACAGGUGUGGACAAUGUGGAUCUGGAGGCCGCAACAAGGAAGGGCAUCUUGGUUAUGAACACCCCCAAUGGGAACAGCCUCAGUGCCGCAGAACUCACUUGUGGAAUGAUCAUGUGCCUGGCCAGGCCUGAAACCUUCCGGGACCAAGAAAUUACUUUUCCCAUGGCGAGACCUGCUUUCCCUCCUGCUGGAGGAGGAUCUGGGGGAAUUUACCUCUGCUCUAACUCCUCCCUGCAGUUUCCAUCUGAGCUCUCUGGACCAGCUUUGUUUAAAGGAAUCGGUGAAAUGCUGUGGUUUAAAAGAAGCUCCCCAUUGUCAACUGCUCACCAUGACCUCACUCAUCAAAGGCAGAUUCCCCAGGCGACGGCUUCGAUGAAGGACGGCAAAUGGGAGCGGAAGAAGUUCAUGGGAACAGAGCUGAAUGGAAAGACCCUGGGAAUUCUUGGCCUGGGCAGGAUUGGGAGAGAGGUAGCUACCCGGAUGCAGUCCUUUGGGAUGAAGGUAAGAUGUUGCUGGAACCCUGUGAUGUGGGACUUUCUGCAGCAAUUUUGGGAAAGGCAGCAUGUCUGGGCAGAAGCCAGAAGCUUUGUUCUAGGAGGGUCUGACCCUCUCUUGGAGCCCCCAUCUAAAUAAGUGUUAAAGUCAAGGAGGGAGAGAACACUGGCCUGCUGAUCUGGACUCAAAAGCUGGAAAUACUUGGUGGGGGUCCUUUAGCUCUCUGGUGAGUGAAUAGCCCUGAGUCCCAGUGAACCAGGUGUUGAUGGCUCUUUUGAGACUUUGGUUCCUGUCUUCUUAGUUUAAAAGAAUUUAAACAAGAGACACGGUGCAGCAUUGAGGAGUUUAUUGCAAAGGAAAAAGAAUAUUUUGAAAGUUAAGUGCAGAGUAGACAGUACACCUCGGGAGAGAGAGAAUUCAGGGUGGGCUGCUCAUAAGAGUGAGGCAGUGUUGGCCGGGCGCGGUGGCUCACGCCUGUAAUCCAGCACUUUGGGAGGCCGAGGCAGGCAGAUCAUGAGGUCAGGAGAUCAAGACCAUCCUGGAUAACAUGGUGAAACCGCAUCGCUACUAAAAAAAAAAAAAAAAAAAUUAGCCGGGCGUGGUGGCGGGCGCCUGUAGUCCCAGCUACUUGGGAGGCUGAGGCAGGAGAAUGGCGUGAACCCGGGAGGCGGAGCUUGCAGUGAGCCGAGAUCAUGCCACUGCACUCCAGCCUGGGCGACAGAGCGAGACUCCGUCUUAAAAAACAGAAACAAAAACAAAAACGAAUGAGGCAGUGUUGAUUAUUGCUGGAGAAACUCCCUUUAUAGGAGUUUUACAUGAUUAUUCAUAAGGAGGUGGGAAGAGCUGUUACUAGUAAGCAUGUUUUGGGUGGUCCUCUGGGUGCACAUGAGUAGUAGCUGUACAUUCUUGUUCAUUUGGCACAUGUCUUAUUAGCAUCUUAAAUCUCCACCCAGGAGUGUGUUUUUUACUAUUAUAAUGAGCCAGGGGGUCAGUUUGAGGACAGGAAAAAUCAAAGUGCACAGGCUGUCUAGAUGGGAAGUUCCCUACUGAAGAUAGCUUUGCUUGAAUGAGCUCAGUUAGAAUAUGAAUACCGAGGCUUAUUGUGUUGACUAUAGGAUCACCAAGGUUGCUGCACUUCCUUGAUUACCUAUCCUGCCUCACAGGGAGGGUGCUUGUGUCCUGCCCAUUCUUUCUUUCCUUCCUGCUUUUGUUUUGUCUGCUUUCCUGUGAUAAUUUAGAAAACAGGAACAAGUUUAUGGCCUCACAGUAGAGCCUUACAUCCAUUGUCCAUCUGUCCUUCCAGUUUCCCUCCAUAUUUCAGAAAAGAUUUAAAAGUGCUUGUAUGUACACUAUGAUAUGAUUGUAGAGCCUAUGGUGGCUGGAAGACCUCACACCGGUCUCAGAAAUCACACCUAACUCCUGUCUUCCCCCAGGUCUCUGCCUUUUCCUACUCUGGGAGCUCAGUAGGCUUCUGGCUACUCCCUUAGCCUGAUUGCAACCCUCUGGUUGCCAUCAGUAGCAGUGCCACCCACUUGGGCUAAUCCAGGAGACCUUGCAAAUGAGAGAGGCAAUUCAGCUAAGAGAGGGGAUCUGCAGGGCUUCCCAGAUAGGCCAAAGAGAUGAACCCACUAAGGCUACUAUGGGACAUCUCUCUGUUCACUUUCUGUUUUAGGGAAUUACAGGGAUUAUGGGGUCAAACUGCAGCCAGGAAGUCUUUAAACAUUAGGAGAUCAGUUUUGACAACCAGAUCAUGUCAAAUCUAGAAAAGUUUACAUAGAGCUGCUAUGGAACUCUCCCUUUUUCUACAUCCCUCCUACCUUCUUAGAGUUAGAAGGGAUCUUAAUAGAUUAACCCUUAAUUUUACAUUGACAUCUAGAAUUUGUAAGCUUAUGCCUAAGGACUCAUAGCAAAUGGACAGUAGCCUAGAGCCUGGUGAGCAUCCCAUUGUACACAUUGAAUAUUAUCCUCUCCCUCCUGCCUCCACUCCCCAUCUUAUUUAUUUAAGUCAGCCAGAUAUCUUUCCUAAGCCUCUGCACUGAGAAGGGCCAGGUGUAUUCUUGAUCCCUGGACUCCUGAGAGAGGCAGAUGUAGCCCAGCAGGAUCAUUGAUCAUGUAAACAAACCACAGCCUUGCCCUCUGUGCAGGGAUGGUGGGAUGCCAUAAGCCACAAAGAGCACUCCCUCCUCCAUCCUCUUUUGUAAGGGAUCAAGGGUCAAGGUUUAGUCCAUGGAGAAUUUUGAUAUAAAAGGCAGAGGUCAGGAGUUAAGUAAAACUAAGAGCACUCAUAGCCAAAUAGGUGAGCAUUUCAUUGAUGAAGCAGUAACUGGGAGACAGGCUCCAGACCAGUGGCCGUUCCAAGGCUCCUGCCCCCUUCCCCAGGGGGUCCUCUUCCCCAUGACUCCCCUUCCCCAGGCUUCCUUCUCCGUGGCACCACUACACAUCAAUAUUCCUGGCAAUAUUCUUCAUCAUGGAGACUUCGGCAGCGACUUCAACCAGAUGAAAAGCCCCACCUCAUUCCUGAAUGAUUGAGGUGCUAGAACAUGCUCUUUGUAAACCCCUGAAACAUGGCUUGGAUCAUUCCGUCUCCCACCUCAGCCCCUCCGGAGCUGCCUGGACCUCAUCAUUCCGGAGAGUCUAAGUGGCCUCUUCUCGUGCUCAGCUGCUUACCUCAACCACGUCAUUAUCAUACUUUUGAGUCUGGAUGAAUUUUGUCUUAGGGCGGAGAGCUCAUCAGUUCUACCGGUCUUGGAGAACAAGAUUUUCUAAAGGGAAAGGAAGAUUCUUGAACAUAUUGUGAAAGAGAUGUAUAAGCACCCAGACAGGAAAUGAGGAUAAGUGUUUAUUAAACACAAGUUAUUUCAUACUAGCCUCAUCCUCUUUUUGGAAACCAUUAUUAAACUGGUAGAGUAUGGAAAUCCCUAGAUGUCAGAUACCCGGACUAUUUAAAGUUAUGUUUUAAUCAUGUAAUAAAGGAAUGCAUUCUCAUAUAAAUUAAAA
Homo sapiens (human) is the source of this 3812-nucleotide RNA transcript. It is a transcript of the gene named phosphoglycerate dehydrogenase, with no coding region annotated. The record is from RefSeq and is marked reviewed. The transcript has 8 exons. Lineage: Eukaryota; Metazoa; Chordata; Mammalia; Primates; Hominidae.